CACGAAGCCGGAGUUGCUAGUAAUCGCGAAUCAGAAUGUCGCGGUGAAUGCGUUCCCGGGUCUUGUACACACCGCCCGUCACACCAUGGGAGUUGGAAAUGCCCGAAGCCAGUGACCCAACCGUAAGGAGGGAGCUGUCGAAGGUGGAGCCGAUGACUGGGGUGAAGUCGUAACAAGGUAUC
Molecule: ribosomal RNA, 182 nt
Filed under: uncultured bacterium
Lineage: Bacteria
Description: partial 16S ribosomal RNA
Rfam family: Bacterial small subunit ribosomal RNA
Source: RNAcentral